GAUGAACGCUGGCGGCGUGCCUAAUACAUGCAAGUCGAGCGAACAGAUAAGGAGCUUGCUCCUUUGACGUUAGCGGCGGACGGGUGAGUAACACGUGGAUAACCUACCUAUAAGACUGGGAUAACUUCGGGAAACCGGAGCUAAUACCGGAUAACAUAUUGAACCGCAUGGUUCAAUAGUGAAAGGCGGCUUUGCUGUCACUUAUAGAUGGAUCCGCGCCGUAUUAGCUAGUUGGUAAGGUAACGGCUUACCAAGGCAACGAUACGUAGCCGACCUGAGAGGGGGAUCGCCCACCCUGGAACUGGGACACGGUCCAGACUCCUACGGGAGGCAGCAGUAGGGAAUCUUCCGCAGUGGGCGAAAGCCUGACGGAGCAACGCCGCGUGAGUGAUGAAGGUCUUCGGAUCGUAAAACUCUGUUAUCAGGGAAGAACAAAUGUGUAAGUAACUGUGCACAUCUUGACGGUACCUGAUCAGAAAGCCACGGCUAACUACGUG
Molecule: ribosomal RNA, 497 nt
Filed under: uncultured bacterium
Lineage: Bacteria
Description: partial 16S ribosomal RNA
Rfam family: Bacterial small subunit ribosomal RNA
Source: RNAcentral